AGAGUUUGAUCCUGGCUCAGGACGAACGCUGGCGGCGUGCUUAACACAUGCAAGUCGAACGGAAAGGCCCCUUCGGGGGUACUCGAGUGGCGAACGGGUGAGUAACACGUGGGUGAUCUGCCCUGCACUUUGGGAUAAGCCUGGGAAACUGGGUCUAAUACCGAAUAGGACCGCAUGCUUCAUGGUGUGUGGUGGAAAGCUUUUGCGGUGUGGGAUGGGCCCGCGGCCUAUCAGCUUGUUGGUGGGGUAAUGGCCUACCAAGGCGACGACGGGUAGCCGGCCUGAGAGGGUGUCCGGCCACACUGGGACUGAGAUACGGCCCAGACUCCUACGGGAGGCAGCAGUGGGGAAUAUUGCACAAUGGGCGCAAGCCUGAUGCAGCGACGCCGCGUGGGGGAUGACGGCCUUCGGGUUGUAAACCUCUUUCAGUAUCGGCGAAGCUCCAGGAUUUUUCUUGGGGUGACGGUAGGUACAGAAGAAGCACCGGCCAACUACGUGCCAGCAGCCGCGGUAAUACGUGGGGUGCGAGCGUUGUCCGGAAUUACUGGGCGUAAAGAGCUCGUAGGUGGUUUGUCACGUUGUCUGUGAAAACUCACAGCUUAACUGUGGGCGUGCGGGCGAUACGGGCAGACUGGAGUACUGUAGGGGAGACUGGAAUUCCUGGUGUAGCGGUGGAAUGCGCAGAUAUCAGGAGGAACACCGGUGGCGAAGGCGGGUCUCCGGGCAGUAACUGACGCUGAGGAGCGAAAGCGUGGGGAGCGAACAGGAUUAGAUACCCUGGUAGUCCAA
Molecule: ribosomal RNA, 789 nt
Filed under: uncultured bacterium
Lineage: Bacteria
Description: bacterial SSU rRNA
Rfam family: Bacterial small subunit ribosomal RNA
Source: RNAcentral